Non-coding RNA from Acanthosepion pharaonis, 107 nucleotides. The record is from the annotation of a GenBank genome assembly. NCBI's taxonomy places the organism in Eukaryota, Metazoa, Mollusca, Cephalopoda, Sepiida, Sepiidae.
UUACGGCUAUAUCACGUCGAAAGACCGGUUCCCGUACGAUCACCGAAAUUAAGCAACGCCGGUCAGUACCUAGAUGGGUGACUACUUGGAAAUACCAGAUGCUGUAA